UGCACGAAUCAGCUUAAUGCCUCGCGCGUCCAGUCUUGCCGUCAUCAAAACACGUCGCUGUCACAUCACAGACAUGACAGAUGAUCCGUGUUGCUUCACUACAAGCCAUCAAGAAGCAGCCGGCCUUCGAAAAGCAAAAUGCAAAUUCUUUGAAAAAGAAAGGAUGGACAUGAAAUGCCUCCAGACCAUUGAACCCCAUAACUCCAAUGACAUAUGAAGGUUUGAAUGGUUUUGGAAAAAAGUGGGGGGGUAACAAUUGAUAUAGGAACCCCCAACUUGGACAAGUGGAAGGGACAUGGCCCCCCGUCCCCACCGAUUGACGCCCAUAUUAGGACAUACUGGUAUAUUGUACGCGUAUGUGCAAGUUCACGUUCCACUGCUACAAAACCUGUACUGUUUGUACUUACAUAUCUCCAAAUUUCAAAUUAAUGUCUUUGGAUGAUUGCUCAGAUAUGUACAUGCACAUGUAUUGUAUGUACAUGCAUACAUAUACAUUAGGUUUGUAGGACUAUUUCAGGCAAAAAUACAGAUAUUCAGACAAACAUAUAUAAUAUAGACAAAAACAAUAAUUUGUUGCGUAUUUUAUUAAAAAAUUGGGGUGGGUAGGCAAACGUAGCCAAAAUUAUUUUAAUAAGAAUGUCUUAUAAGCUGUUCAAUUUUUAUUCUUAGAAAUGGUCAUUUUAGGCAGACCCUCAUCGUAGUUAGGGGGCUUUAGGGCAGUCUGUUUGGAAUAUAUCAAAUAUUUGAAUAUUCAGUCAUCAACCAAAUAUUCAGAGUGCUUUUUACCAGUUUGAGUAUUCAUAAAGAAUAAAGAAUGUUCAAUUUCGAAAACUAUUUGCCACUCUGAUUUCUUGGUACAUGUAUAUAGUGGCAAGAUACAAGUGCAAUUGGGACCUCCAUGUGCCCUGUGCUUUUAUAGGAGAGGUAUUUUAAUAUGCAGCCGUUUGAAUUAACCCACACCUGGCCUACUACCCACGCAUAAAAAAGUAACUUCUAUACCAAAUUUGCUUGUAACCUUUAAAAAGAAUAUCAUUUUCCUUGACUACAUGUACAUGUAUACUGCACUAUCAGAUGCUUCAUCUUGUCAAUGGCAAUUUUUUCCAUUCAUUAUCAUUUCAUUAUUCCCAUCCUUAUGGUUAGUUUAUAAACUGAAGCCCUUGAUCCACAAAUUUUGAAUAUUCACAUACACAGUCAAACACAGUUUCAAAUGUUCAUUACCAAAUUAUUCAAAAAUGAAAAGCCCCAAGGGCCUCUCUAUUUUUCUUUUUUUUAAAUGCAUAUGGGAUCGAUACACUCUACCUAUGAGGAAAUAGUGUUCAAACAACAGUGGCCCAUUUCAUCAAGAAAUUAAAAAACUUAAAAUUCUCAUUCCUUUUGUAAAGGGAGCUCUCUUAAGCUUUAUUGACAUGUAAAUCUGAAAAUAUGUCUAUGCAUCUUGUAAAUACAUGUAAUACAGUAUUGUUAGAGUUUAGCAUAAACAUAUUUCAUGAUGGACACAUUUUGUUAGCUUAUGUAGGUGUUGUGGUUUCCUCAGCAAUCUCAGAACUUCAGGUUUUUUUGAGAACUUUGUUGCCAUAUGUAUAUUUGAACUAGGCAUACUUUUCCAUGUGUUUUGUACCUGUGUACAUUUAGACGCUAAUUCUGAAGUCACAUGUCUUGCUUUGAUUAGUUAAUACUUAUUUUUUAAAUCACUUCAAAAAAUCACAAAUCAUUUGAAAAUUCAUGCUUAAGAAACCUUAAAAUUCCGUUUGGUAUUUGAAAGAAAGGAAUGGCUGAAUUCAAUAUACUGAUGCCUUUAAAACAUUUCCACACAACCAGCAUUGGGUCAUUUUGUGUAAAAUGUUACUCUUUACACUUACUUGACAUUUAUAUGUACAUGUGUACCUGAUGUACACCACUGUCCCAUUUUGUAUGACAGCAUGUAGGCCCAUGUACAUGCAUGUAUGGAAUUCAGUAGCCAUUGUGUUUACAUGCAUUUAGAUAAAACAGUAUUGCCAAAUACACCGGUAUCAUAGAAGGCAGUAUGGAGGGAUCCCAAUACGACGCUUUUAGCGUCAAUUUUCGCAUUUCCGCAUUUGAAAA
Molecule: long non-coding RNA, 2082 nt
Organism: Acanthaster planci (crown-of-thorns starfish)
Lineage: Eukaryota; Metazoa; Echinodermata; Asteroidea; Valvatida; Acanthasteridae
Source: RefSeq, a predicted model, not a curated record